This 385-nucleotide ribosomal RNA is filed under the name Clytia gracilis. RNAcentral describes it as "partial large subunit ribosomal RNA". It matches the Rfam family "Bacterial large subunit ribosomal RNA", at positions 1888 to 2424 of the family's 2925-position model. Lineage: Eukaryota; Metazoa; Cnidaria; Hydrozoa; Leptothecata; Clytiidae. The record is from RNAcentral.
UCUAAAGUAAAUUUAUAAAAUACAUAUAAUGAGAACUAAAAGGACGCGGUAACCUUGACCGUGAUAAUGUAGCAUAAUCACUCGCCAUUUAAUUGGUGGAUAGUAUGAAUGGUUGAACGAAUAUCCCACUGUCUUAAAGAAAACUAAAAGAAAUUGAAAUAAUAGUUAAGAUGCUAUUUUAAACUGUAAGACGAAAAGACCCUAUAGAGCUUAACUAUAAUCUCUAUUAUUUAAACAAAUAAUUAAUUUGUAUACCAUAGAGAUUGGUAGUUUAGUUGGGGCGACUAUCUUUUAAAUUAAACAAAGAUAAAGCAAUGUUAAUAAAAGAUUUAUUGUAUAAUUAAAUUUAUUUAACAAUUAUAAAAAUAGGCUAUAAUGGACCCCG